RNAcentral lists this ribosomal RNA (253 nucleotides) under uncultured bacterium. Its description in RNAcentral is "partial 16S ribosomal RNA". It matches the Rfam family "Bacterial small subunit ribosomal RNA", at positions 524 to 776 of the family's 1533-position model. The record is from RNAcentral.
UACGAAGGGGACUAGCGUUGUUCGGAAUCACUGGGCGUAAAGCGCACGUAGGCGGAUUCGUAAGUCAGGGGUGAAAUCCCGGGGCUCAACCUCGGAACGGCCUUUGAUACUGCGGGUCUUGAGUCCGAUAGAGGUGGGUGGAAUUCCUAGUGUAGAGGUGAAAUUCGUAGAUAUUAGGAAGAACACCGGUGGCGAAGGCGGCCCACUGGAUCGGUACUGACGCUGAGGUGCGAAAGCGUGGGGAGCAAACAGG